Molecule: ribosomal RNA, 299 nt
Filed under: uncultured bacterium
Lineage: Bacteria
Description: partial 16S ribosomal RNA
Rfam family: Bacterial small subunit ribosomal RNA
Source: RNAcentral
GACGAACGCUGGCGGCGUGCUUAACACAUGCAAGUCGAGCGGAAAGGCCCUCGGGUACGUCGAGCGGCGAACGGGUGAGUAACACGUGAGUAACCUGCCCUUGGCUUUGGGAUAACCCUCGGAAACGGGGGCUAAUACCGGAUAUUCACUUUCCUUGGCAUCAGGGUUGGUGGAAAGUUUUUCGGCCGAGGGAUGGGCUCGCGGCCUAUCAGCUUGUUGGUGGGGUAAUGGCCUACCAAGGCGGACGACGGGGUAGCCGGCCUGAGAGGGCGACCGGCCACACUGGGACUGAGACACGG